RNAcentral lists this unclassified non-coding RNA (231 nucleotides) under Hevea brasiliensis (rubber tree). Lineage: Eukaryota; Viridiplantae; Streptophyta; Magnoliopsida; Malpighiales; Euphorbiaceae. The record is from RNAcentral.
CAAAAAAAAAAAAAAGAGGACAAAGCGUUCACCCAAAAAACACUAUUCUUUAAAUAAAAAAAAUCCUAAAAGGAGGAAAACUCAAGGAAUGAGGAUAAAAAUACUCUACUUUAUUGAGGGAGAAAAAACUGUUGAUAAGGGAAUUUAUCAUUGGUAAAAGGAAUGGUGGAAGCCCAAAAUAGCCACAAAGGGGAAAAGAAGAAGAAGAAGGAAUAGAGAGAGAGAGAGAGA